RNAcentral lists this ribosomal RNA (477 nucleotides) under uncultured bacterium. Its description in RNAcentral is "partial 16S ribosomal RNA". It matches the Rfam family "Bacterial small subunit ribosomal RNA", at positions 29 to 507 of the family's 1533-position model. The record is from RNAcentral.
AUGAACGCUGGCGGCGUGCUUAACACAUGCCAGUCGAACGGGAAACCUUUUAUUGAAGCUUCGGCAGAUUUAGCUGGUUUCUAGUGGCGGACGGGUGAGUAACGCGUGGGUAACCUGCCCUAUACAGGGGGAUAACAACCAGAAAUGGUUGCUAAUACCGCAUAAGCGCACAGGGCCGCAUGGUCCGGUGUGAAAAACUCCGGUGGUAUAGGAUGGACCCGCGUUGGAUUAGCCAGUUGGCAGGGUAACGGCCUACCAAAGCGACGAUCCAUAGCCGGCCUGAGAGGGUGAACGGCCACAUUGGGACUGAGACACGGCCCAGACUCCUACGGGAGGCAGCAGUGGGGAAUAUUGCACAAUGGGGGAAACCCUGAUGCAGCGACGCCGCGUGAAGGAAGAAGUAUCUCGGUAUGUAAACUUCUAUCAGCAGGGAAGAUAGUGACGGUACCUGACUAAGAAGCCCCGGCUAACUACGUG